RNAcentral lists this ribosomal RNA (1398 nucleotides) under uncultured bacterium. Its description in RNAcentral is "16S ribosomal RNA". It matches the Rfam family "Bacterial small subunit ribosomal RNA". The record is from RNAcentral.
AGAGUUUGAUCCUGGCUCAGGAUGAACGCUAGCUACAGGCUUAACACAUGCAAGUCGAGGGGCAGCAUGAAAGUUUGCUUGCAAACUUUUGAUGGCGACCGGCGCACGGGUGAGUAACACGUAUCCAACCUGCCUCAUACUCGGGGAUAGCCUUUCGAAAGAAAGAUUAAUACCCGAUGUCAUAGUCCUACCGCAUGAUGGGAUUAUUAAAGAAUUUCGGUAUGGGAUGGGGAUGCGUUCCAUUAGUUAGUUGGCGGGGUAACGGCCCACCAAGACAACGAUGGAUAGGGGUUCUGAGAGGAAGGUCCCCCACAUUGGAACUGAGACACGGUCCAAACUCCUACGGGAGGCAGCAGUGAGGAAUAUUGGUCAAUGGACGAGAGUCUGAACCAGCCAAGUAGCGUGAAGGAUGACUGCCCUAUGGGUUGUAAACUUCUUUUAUAUGGGAAUAAAAUGUUCCACGUGUGGGAUUUUGUAUGUACCAUAUGAAUAAGGAUCGGCUAACUCCGUGCCAGCAGCCGCGGUAAUACGGAGGAUCCGAGCGUUAUCCGGAUUUAUUGGGUUUAAAGGGAGCGUAGGUGGAUUGUUAAGUCAGUUGUGAAAGUUUGCGGCUCAACCGUAAAACUGCAGUUGAAACUGGCAGUCUUGAGUACAGUAGAGGUGAGCGGAAUUUCGUGGUGUAGCGGUGAAAUGCUUAGAUAUCACGAAGAACUCCGAUUGCGAAGGCAGCUCACUGGACUGCAACUGACACUGAGGCUCGAAAGUGUGGGUAUCAAACAGGAUUAGAUACCCUGGUAGUCCACACAGUAAACGAUGAAUACUCGCUGUUUGCGAUAUACGGCAAGCGGCCAAGCGAAAGCAUUAAGUAUUCCACCUGGGGAGUACGCCGGCAACGGUGAAACUCAAAGGAAUUGACGGGGGCCCGCACAAGCGGAGGAACAUGUGGUUUAAUUCGAUGAUACGCGAGGAACCUUACCCGGGCUUAAAUUGCACCUGAAUAAUGUGGAAACAUGUUAGCCGUAAGGCAGGUGUGAAGGUGCUGCAUGGUUGUCGUCAGCUCGUGCCGUGAGGUGUCGGCUUAAGUGCCAUAACGAGCGCAACCCUUAUCUUCAGUUACUAACAGGUCAUGCUGAGGACUCUGGAGAGACUGCCGUCGUAAGAUGUGAGGAAGGUGGGGAUGACGUCAAAUCAGCACGGCCCUUACGUCCGGGGCUACACACGUGUUACAAUGGGAGGUACAGAAGGCCGCUACCUGGCGACAGGAUGCCAAUCCCCAAAACCUCUCUCAGUUCGGAUCGAAGUCUGCAACCCGACUUCGUGAAGCUGGAUUCGCUAGUAAUCGCGCAUCAGCCAUGGCGCGGUGAAUACGUUCCCGGGCCUUGCACUCACCGCCCGUCA